UGGGGAAUAUUGGACAAUGGGCGCAAGCCUGAUCCAGCCAUGCCGCGUGAGUGAUGAAGGCCUUCGGGUUGUAAAGCUCUUUUGGCGGGGACGAUGAUGACGGUACCCGCAGGAUAAGCCCCGGGUAACUUCGUGCCAGCAGCCGCGGUAAGACGAAGGGGGCAAGCGUUGUUCGGAAUUACUGGGCGUAAAGGGCGCGUAGGCGGUCCGAUCAGUAAGGCGUGAAAGCCCUGGGCUUAACCUGGGAGGUGCGCUUGAUACUGUCGGGCUUGAGUGUGGGAGAGGAUGGUGGAAUUCCCAGUGUAGAGGGGAAAUUCGUAGAUAUAGGGAAGAACACCGGUGGCGAAGGCGGCCAUCUGGACCACAACUGACGCUGAGGC
Molecule: ribosomal RNA, 380 nt
Filed under: uncultured bacterium
Lineage: Bacteria
Description: bacterial SSU rRNA
Rfam family: Bacterial small subunit ribosomal RNA
Source: RNAcentral